UGAGCCGGCCAGGUGGCCGCGGCGCAGCUCGACUGCGUCGAGGAAGGUCGGGACUCCACAGAGCAGGGUGCUGGCUAGCGGCCAGUCGGGGUGACCCGCAGGAAAGUGCCACAGAGAACAGACCGCCGAUGACGGACCUCGGUCCGAACAGGCAAGGGUGAAACGGUGCGGCAAGAGCGCACCAGCGUCUCGGGCGACCGGGACGGCUCGGCAAACCCCACCCGGAGCAAGACCGAACAGAGGGAUGGGCUGCUCGCCCGCUCGCAAGAGCACCCUCGGGUAGGUCGCACAGAUGGAUGGCCACCACGGCGCCCUCGGGCGCCGGACAGGAUCCCGCCUACCGGCCGGCUCACCGU
This 356-nucleotide RNase P RNA is filed under the name cyanobacterium TDX16. RNAcentral's name for it is "RNase P RNA component class A". It matches the Rfam family "Bacterial RNase P class A". From Rfam's summary of the family: Ribonuclease P (RNase P) is a ubiquitous endoribonuclease, found in archaea, bacteria and eukarya as well as chloroplasts and mitochondria. Its best characterised activity is the generation of mature 5'-ends of tRNAs by cleaving the 5'-leader elements of precursor-tRNAs. The record is from RNAcentral. Lineage: Bacteria; Bacillati; Cyanobacteriota.